AAGUUUAAUGUCAGAGUGGGAAGUGAUGCAGGCAGAUAGAGAGGAGAGGAAGUUUAAUGUCAGAGUGGGAAGUGAUGCAGGCAGAUAGAGAGGAGAGGAAGUUUAAUGUCAGAGUGGGAAGUGAUGCAGGCAGAUAGAGAGGAGAGGAGAGGAAGUUUAAUGUCAGAGUGGGAAGUGAUGCAGGCAGAUAGAGAGGAGAGGAAGUUUAAUGUCAGAGUGGGAAGUGAUGCAGGCAGAUAGAGAGGAGAGGAGAUCAAGUUUAAUGUCAGAGUGGGAAGUGAUGCAGGCAGAUAGAGAGGAGAGGAAGUUUAAUGUCAGAGUGGGAAGUGAUGCAGGCAGAUAGUCAGAGAGGAAAGGAAGUUUAAUGUCAGAGUGGGAAGUGAUGCAGGCAGAUAGUCAGAGAGGAAGUUUAAUGUCAGAGUGGGAAGUGAUGCAGGCAGAUAGAGAGGAGAGGAAGUUUAAUGUCAGAGUGGGAAGUGAUGCAGGCAGAUAGAGAGGAGAGGAAGUUUAAUGUCAGAGUGGGAAGUGAUGCAGGCAGAUAGUCAGAGAGGAAGUUUAAUGUCAGAGUGGGAAGUGAUGCAGGCAGAUAGAGAGGAGAGGAAGUUUAAUGUCAGAGUGGGAAGUGAUGCAGGCAGAUAGAGAGGAGAGGAAAGGAAGUUUAAUGUCAGAGUGGGUAGUGAUGCAGGCAGAUAGAGAGGAGAGGAAGUUUAAUGUCAGAAGGGGAAGUGAUGCAGGCAGAUAGAGAGGAGAGGAAGUUUAAUGUCAGAGUGGGUAGUGAUGCAGGCAGAUAGAGAGGAGAGGAAGUUUAAUGUCAGAGUGGGUAGUGAUGCAGGCAGAUAGAGAGGAGAGGAAGUUUAAUGUCAGAGUGGGUAGUGA
Molecule: long non-coding RNA, 876 nt
Organism: Oncorhynchus keta (chum salmon)
Lineage: Eukaryota; Metazoa; Chordata; Actinopteri; Salmoniformes; Salmonidae
Exons: 4
Source: RefSeq, a predicted model, not a curated record